AUUCUGCCCAUGCGGGGAAGGAUGAGAAGCUUCGACCAAGGUUCGACUCGAGCGCCAGCGAGAGAGCGUUGCCGCAGGCAACGACCCGUAGGGCGAAGCGCGCAGCGCUGAGUAAUCCCUCCCCCACCACCA
RNAcentral lists this small RNA (132 nucleotides) under Escherichia coli. RNAcentral describes it as "RtT sRNA". It matches the Rfam family "RtT RNA". Rfam says of the family: This family represents a bacterial cis-regulatory element known as RtT RNA. The exact function of RtT is unknown although it is thought that it may be involved in changing the cellular response in relation to amino acid starvation. The record is from RNAcentral. Lineage: Bacteria; Pseudomonadati; Pseudomonadota; Gammaproteobacteria; Enterobacterales; Enterobacteriaceae.